RNAcentral lists this unclassified non-coding RNA (126 nucleotides) under uncultured Ascomycota. Its description in RNAcentral is "sequence contains ITS2". Lineage: Eukaryota; Fungi; Ascomycota. The record is from RNAcentral.
CGACCUCGAGCUCAGCUUGGUGUUGAGGAUUGCAGCGCAUCCUUCAAAAGCAUCGGCGGCAGCGCAGCUCCAUCGCAGCACAAUGCGUGCAGGCUGUCACCUGUUUGCCAGAACCCUUUUUUCUAA